Molecule: ribosomal RNA, 503 nt
Filed under: uncultured bacterium
Lineage: Bacteria
Description: partial 16S ribosomal RNA
Source: RNAcentral
GGAGUUAGCCGGUGCUUCUUCUGUGAGUGAUGUCCUUCCUGCCGGCUAUUAACCCGCAGGCCUUCUUCCUCACUGAAAGUGCUUUACAACCCGAAGGCCUUCUUCACACACGCGGCAUGGCUGGAUCAGGGUUGCCCCCAUUGUCCAAUAUUCCCCACUGCUGCCUCCCGUAGGAGUCUGGGCCGUGUCUCAGUCCCAGUGUGGCUGAUCAUCCUCUCAGACCAGCUACGGAUCGUCGCCUUGGUGAGCCGUUACCUCACCAACCAGCUAAUCCGACAUAGGCUCAUCCGAUAGCGCGAGGCCCGAAGGUCCCCCGCUUUCCCCCGUAGGGCGUAUGCGGUAUUAGCCUGGGUUUCCCCAGGUUAUCCCCCACUACCGGGCAGAUUCCUAUGCAUUACUCACCCGUCCGCCGCUCGCCACCAGGGAGCAAGCUCCCCGUGCUGCCGCUCGACUUGCAUGUGUAGCNCGCGCACGCGUCAUCUGAGCAUAAUACAACUACUCGA